UACGGAGGGUGCAAGCGUUAAUCGGAAUUACUGGGCGUAAAGCGCACGCAGGUGGCUGAGUCAGUCGAUUGUGAAAGCCCUGGGCUUAACCUGGGAAUUGCAGUCGAUACUACUCAGCUAGAGUAUGGGAGAGGGUAGUGGAAUUCCCGGUGUAGCGGUGAAAUGCGUAGAUAUCUGGAGGAAUACCGGUGGCGAAGGCGGCAUCCUGGACCAUUACUGACGCUGAGGCGCGAAAGCUAGGGGAGCAAACGGG
Molecule: ribosomal RNA, 253 nt
Filed under: uncultured bacterium
Lineage: Bacteria
Description: partial 16S ribosomal RNA
Rfam family: Bacterial small subunit ribosomal RNA
Source: RNAcentral